GCAGACGGGUGAGUAACAUGUAGGUAUCUGCCCUUUGGCCUGGAAUAACACGAGGAAACUUGUGCUAAUACCGGAUAAGUCUUUACGGAGAAAGCUUUAUGCACCAUUGGAUGAGCCUGCACUUGAUUAGUUUGUUGGUGGGGUAAUGGCCUACCAAGACUUUGAUCAAUAGCUGAUUUGAGAGGAUGAUCAGCCACAUUGGGACUGAGACACGGCCCAAACUCCUACGGGAGGCAGCAGUGGGGAAUCUUGCACAAUGGAGGAAACUCUGAUGCAGCGAUGCCGCGUGAGUGAAGAAGGCCCUUGGGUUGUAAAGCUCUUUCGUCGGGGAAGAAAAUGACUGUACCCGAAUAAGAAGGUCCGGCUAACUUCGUGCCAGCAGCCGCGGUAAUACGAAGGGACCUAGCGUAGUUCGGAAUUACUGGGCUUAAAGAGUUCGUAGGUGGUUGAAAAAGUUGGUGGUGAAAUCCCAGAGCUUAACUCUGGAACUGCCAUCAAAACUUUUCAGCUAGAGUAUGAUAGAGGAAAGCAGAAUUUCUAGUGUAGAGGUGAAAUUCGUAGAUAUUAGAAAGAAUACCAAUUGCGAAGGCAGCUUUCUGGAUCAUUACUGACACUGAGGAACGAAAGCAUGGGUAGCGAAGAGGAUUAGAUACCCUCGUAGUCCAUGCCGUAAACGAUGUGUGUUAGACGUUGGAAAUUUAUUUUCAGUGUCGCAGCGAAAGCGAUAAACACACCGCCUGGGGAGUACGACCGCAAGGUUAAAACUCAAAUGAAUUGACGGAGACCCGCACAAGUAGUGGAGCAU
Molecule: ribosomal RNA, 805 nt
Filed under: uncultured bacterium
Lineage: Bacteria
Description: bacterial SSU rRNA
Rfam family: Bacterial small subunit ribosomal RNA
Source: RNAcentral